This is a long non-coding RNA of Sarcophilus harrisii (Tasmanian devil), 509 nucleotides long. NCBI's taxonomy places the organism in Eukaryota, Metazoa, Chordata, Mammalia, Dasyuromorphia, Dasyuridae. The record is from Ensembl.
UGCCGCUCUGUCACUGAGAUCCUUCCCCGCUUCCACAGUCAGUGUUCAAUGAGGCUUUGCAGCUCUAACAGCUUAUAUGGCCUCAGAUUCUAGGCUCAUUCCUCGUUCUCUUGGUCUGUGUAUGUUCUAACAUUCUGCAUUACAAGAACAUCACUGAGAAGCUCCAAGAUCCCGUUAACGCCGGAGCCUUCGCUCUGUGGAUCAGCUCCAAUUCAUCCCGUCGAUAGCUCGCUUGUCCAUAUUUGGAUCCCAUGUCGCCUUUCCCCUCGGCCUUUAGCUUAUGAGCUCCUGGGGAGUAACGACUGCCUUCUGCUACUCUUCCUAUUCCUAGGGCUUUGCAGUUGCCAGGCCCUCAGAAGGACUGUCUGCUUCUUGGGGUGCACAUUUUGCUUUCAGAUGGAGGGAGCUACUUCUCCUUGGUGACUCCAGACGGAUAGCUCCAUCCUUCCAGAAUCUGAUGAUGAGUUAGGUAGGAACAGGCAGCAGAGACCCCCGACUCAUUCUGUGAA